UGGCGGACGGGUGAGUAACGCGUGGGCAACCUGCCUUACACAGGGGGAUAACAGCUAGAAAUGGCUGCUAAUACCGCAUAAGACCUCAGUACCGCAUGGUAGAGGGGUAAAAACUCCGGUGGUGUAAGAUGGGCCCGCGUCUGAUUAGGUAGUUGGUAGGGUAACGGCCUACCAAGCCGACGAUCAGUAGCCGACCUGAGAGGGUGACCGGCCACAUUGGGACUGAGACACGGCCCAA
RNAcentral lists this ribosomal RNA (238 nucleotides) under uncultured bacterium. RNAcentral's name for it is "partial 16S ribosomal RNA". It matches the Rfam family "Bacterial small subunit ribosomal RNA", at positions 96 to 334 of the family's 1533-position model. The record is from RNAcentral.